Molecule: long non-coding RNA, 2585 nt
Organism: Triticum dicoccoides
Lineage: Eukaryota; Viridiplantae; Streptophyta; Magnoliopsida; Poales; Poaceae
Exons: 5
Source: RefSeq, a predicted model, not a curated record
GCCUCCACUUCUCCCACGACCUGCCAGUCUCAUAUCCCAUCUCCUCAUCUCUCCCUCUUUCCUGCGACCAACCCUGCACCCUCCCUCCGAUCAAACUCCUAUGUCGUCCCCGCUAUCGUCGGUUCUCCCUCUCUCCCUGAUUGUUCCCAAUCGAUCUUUGAGCCACCACGAUUCCCAAAUCCAUCUCCUUGCUCCCCACCCUACCCAUGGCGCCGUCGAUGCCAACGGGCUACUACAAGUGCGGUCCAACCUAAUCCCCAACCCUGUCGUACGCACCUGCCACUUCGGCCCUACCACCAGAGACGAACACCCAAGUUCGUUGCGACGCCGGAGGGUGAGGAGGCGCAGCACGAAGGCGGGAAGGAGAGGGAGACGCGGCCCAAUCUCAAGCCGAACCUGCUCCUCUCUGACAGCGGCUUGGGCUUCGUCCUCUGAUAAUUCUCCAAGACGGCCAUGCCCCACCCAUCCACGAGCUCAAACAGCUCAAGUUUCAAUCAAUCCUGGUCUGCUGAUAUGGAGAGUGCAAGACCUGGUCUUUGGUUCCUGGAACAAGUGAUUUUAUUGCCUUAUAAUUAUUUCCAUCUCAUUUCCCAAUACGGAUGAUCAGGUAUUGAAGUUAAAUCGUGUCUUAAAGUAGCUUCGGUUACUCUGUACGUAUCGAAGUUCUUCAGUUACAUUAAGAUCCAAAUUACAGAUUUUACAGGUUAUUAGGAGGUAUCCCAAUGGAUAGGACGCCCGCGGGUGGCUGUCGGCUUGAGCUGGUGCGGUACCAUCACGAAUAUCGUGAUGGGUGGACGGGGAGGAAGGGUGGAAGCUAGGGCGACAUUGGGAAAAAACACGGGCCAUCGGCAGACAAGCAAUAAAUGGUUCUUGAGCAGCACACAAGCAAGAAAUGGUGCUUGAGGUUGUAGGGCCGAGCAGGUAUACACGAGCUGUACGCAUCUCAUUUUCUUCGUCAGGUUCUAAAUGAUCCCUCGAGUUUGCAUCCAUUUGUAUUUACGUUACGAAAUCAUAUAUUCAUGGUUUAUCUCCCUUUUAAGGGUCUAGCUAAACUAAAGUGAAUACCAUUAUGUAACCAAUUUUGUAAAUUGAGUUUGAGCUUGAACAAAGAAAAGUUUACCAAAUAACACAUAAUGGGACUUAUAUUUCGGGAGAUAUUGGAGUACCACCCUCAGCUUCUCAAGGAUUACAUGAACGGCUUUGAAAAAAAUGAGCUUUCUAUAUGCCAGGUUUCUGUGACAUGCUUGUAAACUUUUUUCUCUUUUAUUUUGUUUAUGUAGCAACAUUCACAACUUCUGCCAUUGGUUCUUGAUUUUUUUGCUAUGAAGUGAUGUUGACAAUUUCUAGAGGCAAUUCGCUGACUUAGAAGAUGAUAUUGCAAAGAGCAAGGCAGUCAACAUGAAGCAUGUUUAUCUCGCAAGGUCUGCUACUUGCAGGACUACAAGAUCUGAAAAAUUAAAUACAAGCAGGACUCAACAGUUCACUCUACUAUGAUUCCUCCAACAAAUUAUCUUCCUUAUUCCUCCCAAGUUCCUCAAAGGAUUCCGAUAGGUGUUUAUUAGCAUUCUGUCACAUACUGACCUGGUAUUAUUUUUCCCAUUUAACUUCAAACAGCAUCAGUCGAACUAUUUCGCCUUUGUCACUCUCGCAGCAAGACCAGAUAGAGUGGCUUUCUCAGCGACAUCAAUGCAAAAUGCAAGUAUCACCGAUGGACGCAUUGGAUGAAUAGGGCUAAGGGAAUUGAAGUUAUACCGCUCUUGCAUGCAACAACACCUGCAGGGGACACGUAAACACUCCAGGCACGCAAGGUCACAUCGGAGGAUGGCAUGCUAUCCUCCGACUAUUACGAUUCCACCAUUCAGCAGCAUGGCCAGGGCGGGUGGAUACAACAUGGUUGCUGUGGCCGCAAGGAUGUACUACGACAAGGGUCGGGCAAGCUUGCAGGGUCGAGCAUGAGAAGGGAGCACGAGAACGGCUACAGUUCCUGUUCCAGGCAGAGGUUCAGGGUGCAGGGCCACAUGCCUAACCAAUAUAUGGCCUCUUGUGAACUUCCAUUCUCUCGGUUGUGCGCUACUACAUCCGGUCGCUCUGAGACAAAGGAGACGAUGGUGGCCAAAGAAACAUCAUCCCCAACUCAGAGCUCCAAAUCUGGUGUCUCGACAUGGAAAGAUUCGGACCUUGAGGAUUGGAGUUUGAACGAGAUGCAUUUGGUGUGAGAGAAAGAUGUCUCACAUGCUCUGUUGACAAGGAGGAGUGGGUUGGCGCUGUGUCAGCACAUGAUACUAUACAAGCUAUCAUUUGCGGUUUUUCCUUCCAGGUUAUCAGUGUUAUUUAGUACAAUGAAGAUCUUAAUUUUUACUAUAUUUUUUGUAUUUUUGUCCUGAUACACCAUUUAGGUUGCGAUAGUGGUAGAAAGACACUUAACUUGUCCUUAACCCGAUGGCGAAGGAGAUGUCCCAUGGGGAGGAAAAGGAGUGGAUGCUUGGUUGUUGUGGAAAAGGGAAACAGGGAGAAUGGCGUCGAUAUUCAGCGAGAAUAAACCGAAUGCUUGACAUUUGUGUUCAUACAAAGAACAAUCAUUUCAA